Columba livia (rock pigeon) is the source of this 2094-nucleotide RNA transcript. It is a transcript of the gene named acyl-CoA synthetase family member 2, with no coding region annotated. The transcript is spliced from 16 exons. NCBI's taxonomy places the organism in Eukaryota, Metazoa, Chordata, Aves, Columbiformes, Columbidae. The record is from RefSeq and is a predicted model, not a curated record.
GCCGAACCGCCCCCGCACCGCCCCGCGGACCGGCCCGGGCCCCCGGCUCCCGCCUCCGCCGCUGCAGGGAUGGCCACGGCACGGCUGACAGCACUGUCCCGCCGCGGGCUGCCCCUCCUGCACCGGGCGGGCGGGCGGCGGGGAGACCCCCCGGGCAGGGCCCUGCACACAAGGACACCGUCUGCCUCCCACAGGUUGACCAGCAGCUAUGUCCAGGGGACCUCAGACAUCCCCCUUCUCACCAAAACCGUGAGCCAGUGCCUCGAUAAGACUGUCGAGCGGUUUCCUGACCGUGAAGCCUUGGUCUUCCACCAAGAUGGCGUUCGGAAGACGUUCGCUCAGUUUAAAGAGGAGGUGGACCAGGCAGCAGCUGGGCUGCUGGCCCUUGGCCUGAAGAAGGGAGACCGGCUGGGGAUAUGGAGUCCCAAUAGAUACGAGUGGGUUCUCAUGCAGUUUGCAACUGCCCAGGCAGGAAUCAUCCUGGCAUCUGUGAAUCCAGCCUACCAGGCCCUUGAGCUGGAAUUUGUCAUCAGGAAGGUUGGCUGUAAGGCACUGGUGUUCCCCACUCAAUUUAAAACACAGAAAUACUAUGAUCUUCUCAAGCAGUCAUGUCCUGAGCUAGAAAAAUCCAGUCCGGGGGGAAUAAAGAGCAAAAGGCUUCCUGACCUAUCCAUUGUCAUCACGCUGGACUCCAAGCUGCCUGGCACCUUCCACAUGGACGAGGUGAUGCAGGCCGGGGACAGCAGCCACAUGAAGCAGUUGCGAGCCACGCAGCAGAGCCUCUCCUGUAACGAGCCCAUCAACAUCCAGUUUACUUCAGGGACAACGGGGAGCCCCAAAGGAGCCACCCUGUCGCACAGCAACAUUGUGAAUAACGCCAACCUGAUUGGGAUGAGGCUGGGCUUCACCGAGCAGGACUAUCGCGUUGUGAUCCCCGCACCGCUCUACCACUGCCUGGCCUUGGUGGGCGGCUGCAUAGUGAUGGCUCUGCACGGCUCCUCCUGCAUCUUCUCGUCGCCCACUUUUGAGGGGAAGGCUGCUCUGGAGUCCGUGUCUCAAGAGAAAUGCUCCUUUAUACACGGCACACCAACCAUGUUCAUAGACAUGAUCUCCCAGCCGAACUUCGAGUCCUACGACCUGUCGUCUCUCCGGGGAGGUGUCAUCGCAGGUUCUCCUGUUCCCCCCGAGGUCAUAAGGACGGUUAUCAGCAAGAUGCACAUGCAGGAGGCCGUGAUUGCCUACGGGACCACAGAAAACAGUCCAGUCACCUUCAUGGGAUUUCCUGAUGACAGCGUUGCCAAGAGAACCGAGACGGUGGGAUGCAUCUUGCCCAACACAGAGGCAAAAAUUGAGGAUCCAGAAACAGGGAAGCUUGUUCCUCCGAACACUCCUGGGGAGCUUCAGAUCCGCGGCUACUGUGUCAUGCUGGGCUACUGGAAUGACCCCAGCAAGACGAGCGAAGUGAUCACUGCUGAGAGGUGGUACAAGACGGGGGACAUCGCCAGCCUGGAUGAACACGGCUACUGCAGAAUUGUAGGCCGUUGCAAGGACAUGAUUAUCCGGGGAGGAGAGAAUGUCUACCCAGCAGAAAUCGAGCAGUUUCUCCACACCCAUCCCAAGGUGAAGGAGGUCCAGGACAAAUACCCUGCGGGAGGAGAGGGAUGUCCCCAGGGGUCACACCAUCCUUCUGUCACAACCAGGUGGUUGGUGUGAAGGAUUCGCGGAUGGGAGAAGAGAUCUGUGCCUGCAUCCGAGUGUGCGCUGGGCAGGACUGCACCGAGGAGGAGAUUAAAGCUUUCUGCAAAGGGAAGAUCUCCCAUUUCAAGAUCCCGCGGUACAUCGUGUUUGUGGCUCAGUACCCGCUCACCGUCUCGGGCAAGAUUCAGAAAUACAAGUUGAGGGAGCAGAUGGAGAAGCACCUUCAGCUCUGAGCUUGGGAAGGCAGAGUAAAAAAAGGGGAUAAAUCAGUCCUGCUUCAGCCAGCUUUGAGUCUCCUUUUCACUUGUGCCUUGGGCUAUGCAGUGGAGACCUUCUCUCCCUGACAUCAGGCUGAUGGCACUUUUCAUUAAUAAAACAGAGUGCCUUUUUUUCCCA